Molecule: ribosomal RNA, 506 nt
Filed under: Leptodiscella sp. FMR 10885
Lineage: Eukaryota; Fungi; Ascomycota; Dothideomycetes; Muyocopronales
Description: eukaryotic LSU rRNA
Rfam family: Eukaryotic large subunit ribosomal RNA
Source: RNAcentral
GAGUGAAGCGGCAACAGCUCAAAUUUGAAAUCUGGUACUUUCAGUGCCCGAGUUGUAAUUUGUAGAGGAUGUUUCGGCGUCGGCGCCACCUGAAGUUCCUUGGAACGGGACGUCAAAGAGGGUGAGAGCCCCGUGUCUGGGUGGAUGACUUCGCCAUGUGAAACUCCUUCGACGAGUCGAGUUGUUUGGGAAUGCAGCUCAAAACGGGAGGUAAAUUUCUUCCAAAGCUAAAUACCGGCCAGAGACCGAUAGUGCACAAGUAGAGUGAUCGAAAGAUGAAAAGCACUUUGGAAAGAGAGUCAAACAGCGCGUGAAAUUGUUAAAAGGGAAGCGCUUGAGGUCAGACUUGGUCGCCGUUGCUCGGCGGGGCUCUCGCCCCGUUUGCUCUUCGGCGAUCAGGCCAGCAUCAACUUGGACGGUUGGAUAAAGACCGUGGGAAUGUGGCUCCCCCGGGAGUGUUAUAGCCCACGGUGGAAUGCAGCCAGUCCGGGUUGAGGUCUGCGCAU